GGAAGUAAAAGUUGUAACAAGGUCUCCGUCGGUGAACCAGCGGAGGGAUCAUUACCGAGUUAUCAACUCCCAAACCCCUGUGAACAUACCCAACGUUGCUUCGGCGGGACCGCCCCGGCGCCCUCGGCGUCCCGGAACCAGGCGCCCGCCGGAGGACCCAAACUCUUGUUUAAACCAUAGUGGCAUAUUCUGAGUCUCACAAGAGAAAUGAAUCAAAACUUUCAACAACGGAUCUCUUGGCUCUG
RNAcentral lists this unclassified non-coding RNA (245 nucleotides) under plant metagenome. RNAcentral describes it as "partial contains small subunit ribosomal RNA, internal transcribed spacer 1, and 5.8S ribosomal RNA". The stretch from base 1 to 54 matches the Rfam family "Eukaryotic small subunit ribosomal RNA", at positions 1778 to 1831 of the family's 1831-position model. The record is from RNAcentral.